Molecule: ribosomal RNA, 214 nt
Filed under: uncultured bacterium
Lineage: Bacteria
Description: partial 16S ribosomal RNA
Rfam family: Bacterial small subunit ribosomal RNA
Source: RNAcentral
AAGCCUGUCCCAGUUCGGACUGGAGCUGCAACCCGACUCCACGAAGUUGGAUUCGCUAGUAAUCGCGCAUCAGCCAUGGCGCGGUGAAUACGUUCCCGGGCCUUGUACACACCGCCCGUCAAGCCAUGGGAGCCGGGGGGCGCCUGAAGUCCGGGACCGCGAGGACCGGCCUAGGGCGAAACUGGUAACUGGGGCUAAGUCGUAACAAGGUACC